GCUGGGUAUGAUGGUACAUGUUGAUGCUAUUGGAAAGGUGGAGGCUGGUGGAUCUCUUGAGCUUGGGAGUUCUGAGCUUUAAUAAGAUUAAAGCUAACUGGUUGUCUGCACUAACCUCAGCACCAAUAUGAUGAGCCUCCCUGGGAGUGUGAGGGAGAUACCGAGCUGCCUAAGGAGAAGAGAAUUGGCCCAGGCCAGAAAUGGAACAGGUCAAAGCUUCUGUGCUGAUUGGCAGUAGGAUUAAACCCAUUAGGGAAUGCAAUACUUCUAGCCUAGGCAAGAUAGAGACCCAGGGUUUU
Molecule: signal recognition particle RNA, 299 nt
Filed under: Phascolarctos cinereus (koala)
Lineage: Eukaryota; Metazoa; Chordata; Mammalia; Diprotodontia; Phascolarctidae
Description: Metazoan signal recognition particle RNA (ENSPCIG00000004150.2)
Rfam family: Metazoan signal recognition particle RNA
About the family: The signal recognition particle (SRP) is a universally conserved ribonucleoprotein. It is involved in the co-translational targeting of proteins to membranes.
Source: Rfam by way of RNAcentral